GAUAGGUUAAGUUAAUAAGGGCGCAUGGUGGAUGCCUUGGCACUAGAAGGCGAUGAAGGACGUGACUAACUACGAUAUGCCUCGGUUAGCUGUAAGUAAGCUUACCCGGGGGUUUCCGAAUGGGGCAACCCGAUCUUAAUGAUCAUCAUCUUUUUGAAUUCAUAGAUUAGAUGAAGCAAACGCUGUGAACUGAAACAUCUAAGUAGCAGUAGGAAAGUAAAGAAAUUUCGAUUCCGUCAGUAGCGGCGAGCGAACGCGGAAGAGCCCAAACCUGGAUGCUUGCAUCCAGGGGUUGUAGGACUGAUGUUGAGUUACAAAGGUAUAAGAUAGCAGAAACAGUUGGGAAGCUGUUCCAAAGAGGGUGACAGGCCCGUAUGCGAAAUCUUGUACUCUCUAAUCAGGAUCCUGAGUACGGCCCAGCACGUGAAAUUGGGUCGGAAUCUGGGAGGACCAUCUCCCAAGGCUAAAUACUAACUAGUGACCGAUAGCGAACAAGUACCGUGAGGGAAAGGUGAAAAGAACCCCGGAAGGGGAGUGAAAUAGUUCUUGAAACCGUGUGCUUACAAGAAGUUCGAGGCCGUUAAUGGCUGAGAGCGUGCUUUUUGUAGAAUGAACCGGAGAGUUACGAUUGCGUGCAAGGUUAAGGUGCAAAGACUGGAGCCGUAGCGAAAGCGAGUCUUAAU
RNAcentral lists this ribosomal RNA (683 nucleotides) under Oenococcus oeni. RNAcentral describes it as "bacterial LSU rRNA". It matches the Rfam family "Bacterial large subunit ribosomal RNA", at positions 1 to 688 of the family's 2925-position model. The record is from RNAcentral. Lineage: Bacteria; Bacillati; Bacillota; Bacilli; Lactobacillales; Lactobacillaceae.